Small nuclear RNA from Nannospalax galili (Upper Galilee mountains blind mole rat), 107 nucleotides. The record is from Ensembl. NCBI's taxonomy places the organism in Eukaryota, Metazoa, Chordata, Mammalia, Rodentia, Spalacidae.
GUGCUUGCUUAGGCAGCACAUAUACUAAAAUUGGAACAAUACAGAGACGAUUAGCAUGACUCUUGCACAAUGAUGCCAUGCAAAUUCAUGAAAUGCUAAAAACAUAG